GAGUUAUCGACUGUUACGUCAUC
Molecule: small nuclear RNA, 23 nt
Filed under: Arabidopsis thaliana (thale cress)
Lineage: Eukaryota; Viridiplantae; Streptophyta; Magnoliopsida; Brassicales; Brassicaceae
Description: snRNA_00444
Source: RNAcentral